This 404-nucleotide ribosomal RNA is filed under the name Actinomycetes bacterium. RNAcentral's name for it is "Actinobacteria bacterium partial 16S ribosomal RNA". It matches the Rfam family "Bacterial small subunit ribosomal RNA", at positions 355 to 776 of the family's 1533-position model. The record is from RNAcentral. Lineage: Bacteria; Bacillati; Actinomycetota; Actinomycetes.
UGGGGAAUAUUGGACAAUGGGCGCAAGCCUGCUCCAGCCAUGCCGCGUGAGUGAUGAAGGCCCUAGGGUUGUAAAGCUCUUUCACCGGUGAAGAUAAUGACGGUAACCGGAGAAGAAGCCCCGGCUAACUUCGUGCCAGCAGCCGCGGUAAUACGAAGGGGGCUAGCGUUGUUCGGAUUUACUGGGCGUAAAGCGCACGUAGGCGGAAUAUUAAGUCAGGGGUGAAAUCCCGGGGCUCAACCCCGGAACUGCCUUUGAUACUGGUAGUCUUGAGUUCGAGAGAGGUGAGUGGAAUUCCGAGUGGAGAGGUGAAAUUCGUAGAUAUGCGGAGGAACACCAGUGGCGAAGGCGGCUCACUGGCUCGAUACUGAAGCUGAAGUGCGAAAGCGUGGGGAGCAAACAGG